This is a long non-coding RNA of Lucilia cuprina (Australian sheep blowfly), 219 nucleotides long. RefSeq lists it as uncharacterized. The transcript is spliced from 2 exons. The record is from RefSeq and is a predicted model, not a curated record. Lineage: Eukaryota; Metazoa; Arthropoda; Insecta; Diptera; Calliphoridae.
UUCAUUUUGUUUUAGAGAUGGACAUUUGGUGAAACUCUUUGCAAAAUAUUUCCAGUAAUUUUUUAUGGCAACGUUGCAGUAUCUCUCCUGAGCAUGGUUUGUAUAACAAUAAACAGAUAUAUACUGAUUGCUUGUCACAAUUUGUAUACUAAUAUUUACAAAACAAAAUUUAUUGCUAUACAAUUAAUAUUUGUUUGGGCUGUAUCAUUCUUAUUACUU